Molecule: long non-coding RNA, 1672 nt
Organism: Leopardus geoffroyi (Geoffroy's cat)
Lineage: Eukaryota; Metazoa; Chordata; Mammalia; Carnivora; Felidae
Exons: 2
Source: RefSeq, a predicted model, not a curated record
UUGACAGAGGAACUGAAUGCAAGUUACUAAACAUACUUUCAACAUUUCAAAUGAGUCAGACAGAGAAUGCUGAAGAAGAGUCUUGAGAGAUGUGAUCCAACAGUUCAUUUUCCAGUUGCGAAAACCGAGGCCAGAAAGCACGCUGGAUUCCGCGAAGAACGCUCAGAAUCGCGGGCUGUAUUACUGUUCCUCUGAUGAACUGGCUUUGCCUUUUUAGGAAGCCUGCAUGCUUUCUCCUCUCUACUAAGCGUUUCGGCUCUGAGGCAACCAACCCCAGGCAGACGUCCCCAUGACAGAACUGUUCACUCGGACCCAGUCUCCGUCCCACCCUCAGGCUGCUUCCCACGCCAGGCGCACCAGGGCCCGACAGGACACCUCGGGAUCUCCCCGGCUGACUCAAACAACAUCUUGUCUGCGGAACUUCUUUAUGGUGUACGGGGCUUGCUCUCCUUUCCGGCUCCCCUCUCCCAGGCUUUCCCCAGAGUCUUUCCACUGAUGGAAGCCAUCCCUCCCAGACCCUGGCAGCUUCCUUUCAUGUCUCUCAGGAGGCUCUUAAGAGAAACCACCCUUGCCUCUCCCCCCUCCCCCCGCCCCCCGGAUUUUGCGCACGCAGAGGGCAAGUCUCUGGGACAUGAUGCUCUUCCUCUGGAAGUCGGCAUCUGGAACACAGCUGUUGUUCUGAUGCAGUUCCAACUUCACAGAGCAGGCUGACAGUGGGCCUCGAGGCAGCACCCCUGAGUUUUGUAUCUGCUUCUAAAUGAUGCUCCCCUGAAACCCAGGAAAACUUCGAGCGCCUCUUAUCCUCUCUUCAGCCCUCCUCCCCCACCCCUCUUCGUUGUUGUUGUUGUUUUUCUCUUUUGCCUUUCUUUUUGACUCAUGUGACUUUCUGUCUUCCAGGCCUGUGGCAGGCAGACAGGAUGCUUAAGAGCUACGUCUCUCCCCUUGUUAAACGCCCGCUCCGCGGGCUGCCAUGCGUCAGUUUCUAUUCAAAGACCUCAGUGGCCAGGGAUUUAUUUGGAAGUCGGUUUUCUGGUGGGUCCAUUUUGGCUGGGGGUGAUGUGCAUAUUGUGUCUGCUGUGCUCGCCAGAGGGGGGCCCCCGAAAGGGUCCCCGCCGUCCUCCGCCUCCCACGCACCGCAAACGCUUGCAUGAACACCGAAUAAACCAAAAGCCGGACAGAGAUUUCUUUGUAAAGCAGGGCCCAUCUCCGGGUCUGUCCUUGCCGAAGGACGAUUUCACGACUUCCCUCCUUUCUAAGACAGUCACAGACCAAUCACCUCCUGCGAUCGGCUCCUUCUUCAAACAACUCUGAAAGACCUGUUUUCCUGACUUCCGUGUUCUUUCAGGUGAUCCGAGUGUCCGAGAUGAUGCGCUCUGUCAUGAUCUGUCCCUCUUUAUUUUGCUUUCUAAAUUCAUUAUCUGCCUACUCCCACCCCGGUGCUGUAAUCACAUAUCUGUUUGUUCAUCACCCCUCUUUCUACAAUAUUAGUUCUUCACAGACUCCUUGUCUCUGGAGGACAGAGAAGGCAUUUUUUGUUUCUUUUUUUUCUUGCCCCCCCCCGCCACUGCUGUGUCCUUAGCAUUUGAAUAAUGCCUGCCCUACAACUGGUACUCAAUAAAUAUUUGUUACGAGAAGGAAUGAAUGAAUAAACAGAUCUUCAGAGAAAUAAGGA